CGGACGUAUGGAAAAUUCUAUCCGUAAGGGCAGACUUGGCAAAAAGGAAGGCAUUAGUUCAUAAUUUCUCCACAUCAGACGUAUGGAAAAUUCCAUCCGUAAGCUUAUGGAGAAAAAUACAAUAUUAUGUCUAAUUUUUAUCCAGCACUUAUGCAAGUGGUACAAAUAAUAGACUCGCAUAGCGUAUUUUACCACUAAAAAUCAGGCUUGGUUCCAUCAAGAGAAGAUAGUAUCUAAGUGUGCCAUCAAGGAAAGUACUAUUCAAGUCCGAUUGUACCCUAUCUUGCCAUUUAAAGUAAACUGGUAAAAACUAAUUUUGGAUAAAUAAAAUGUGACCACAGUUAACAAUUACUGCUUUGGACUAAUGUUGCCUUAUUUGAUUGAUAUUUUGCCAUUUUUGUGAGGGAUGGUCAGAUUUCAGUACAUUUCAAACAAAUGUUUCCACAAAAAUUAUUUUAAAGCGAUCAUUUUUUACCAAAACUUAAUGGUCUCUAUGUAUUGUACAAGAUGCAACACGUGCCUCACGAAAAGCUCAAUAUGACCGAUAUGCUUGGGGAUCGAUAUUUUUUGGAUGGAAAAAUAGCAAAAAAAUAUAAUUGGAAUUACUGAGACAUUGUUGACUUUGUUUACAUGAUAAAAUUGUUUACACGAUAAUCUUAGAUCAGGCGCGUAGGCGUAAUGUUUACUUGACAAUAUGGCGAAAAAAUAGGCCCGUAGAUAUACAUGUAGCUACUGCAGGCAUGUAUUUGCAACUGUAAUGUUAUCAUACAUUUCUAGGUUAUUUCUUAUUAUAAUCAUACUAUAAAAUGUAUAGAUGAACGGUAUAAGACUCGUUCAUCUAUACAUCAUCUAUACAAAAAAGAAAAAAGAAAGAAAAAAAAUUCAGUGGGGGAGGAUUCGAACACAUGACUUUACGCAACCUACGGAAUCAAAUGCAACGACCUUAAACACGCACGCGCGCUAUAAAAGGGAGGAACCCUGGUUUCCUCCGAAAAAUCUGUCAAUCAAAUCAGUUGAGUCUAGACCUCAAAGCGUGCGGACGUGUCUUACGGGGCUCCCGACAAACCAGAAAAUGAGUCGGGCUACACUGCAAAUCUUCCAAGUGCACAAAGUUUGAAGCCCGAGUUCCGAGCUUGCAUCUCCUCAAACCACUUCUCCUACUACCAGCUCUCCACUACCAGUACACAUGUUAAUAUUUGUUUAUUGUAAAUACCUGGAGUAGGCAUGAUCAAGUGUGCUUUACAUGCACAGACUAAUCUAUGCAGUUAACAAUAGAAACACAAUAGAAAAGAAUGUGAGUAAGUAUGUGACCACUGUACCUGAAGAUUUCCCCCAAAUAAACUGUAAUCCAAUGAAAUAAAAGAAUGAAAACCAUUAA
Nematostella vectensis (starlet sea anemone) is the source of this 1378-nucleotide long non-coding RNA. RefSeq lists it as uncharacterized. The transcript has 2 exons. NCBI's taxonomy places the organism in Eukaryota, Metazoa, Cnidaria, Anthozoa, Actiniaria, Edwardsiidae. The record is from RefSeq and is a predicted model, not a curated record.